AGUCGAGCGGAUGAAGAGAGCUUGCUCUCUGAUUCAGCGGCGGACGGGUGAGUAAUGCCUAGGAAUCUGCCUGGUAGUGGGGGACAACGUCUCGAAAGGGACGCUAAUACCGCAUACGUCCUACGGGAGAAAGCAGGGGACCUUCGGGCCUUGCGCUAUCAGAUGAGCCUAGGUCGGAUUAGCUAGUUGGUGAGGUAAUGGCUCACCAAGGCGACGAUCCGUAACUGGUCUGAGAGGAUGAUCAGUCACACUGGAACUGAGACACGGUCCAGACUCCUACGGGAGGCAGCAGUGGGGAAUAUUGGACAAUGGGCGAAAGCCUGAUCCAGCCAUGCCGCGUGUGUGAAGAAGGUCUUCGGAUUGUAAAGCACUUUAAGUUGGGAGGAAGGGCAGUAAGCGAAUACCUUGCUGUUUUGACGUUACCGACAGAAUAAGCACCGGCUAACUCUGUGCCAGCAGCCGCGGUAAUACAGAGGGUGCAAGCGUUAAUCGGAAUUACUGGGCGUAAAGCGCGCGUAGGUGGUUUGUUAAGUUGAAUGUGAAAUCCCCGGGCUCAACCUGGGAACUGCAUCCAAAACUGGCAAGCUAGAGUAGGGCAGAGGGUGGUGGAAUUUCCUGUGUAGCGGUGAAAUGCGUAGAUAUAGGAAGGAACACCAGUGGCGAAGGCGACCACCUGGGCUCAUACUGACACUGAGGUGCGAAAGUGUGGGGAGCAAACAGGAUUAGAUACCCUGGUAGUCCACGCCGUAAACGAUGUCAACUAGCCGUUGGAAGCCUUGAGCUUUUAGUGGCGCAGCUAACGCAUUAAGUUGACCGCCUGGGGAGUACGGCCGCAAGGUUAAAACUCAAAUGAAUUGAC
Molecule: ribosomal RNA, 859 nt
Filed under: uncultured bacterium
Lineage: Bacteria
Description: bacterial SSU rRNA
Rfam family: Bacterial small subunit ribosomal RNA
Source: RNAcentral